This 386-nucleotide unclassified non-coding RNA is filed under the name uncultured Cortinarius. RNAcentral's name for it is "sequence contains ITS2". The stretch from base 1 to 154 matches the Rfam family "5.8S ribosomal RNA". The record is from RNAcentral. Lineage: Eukaryota; Fungi; Basidiomycota; Agaricomycetes; Agaricales; Cortinariaceae.
AACUUUCGGCAAUGGAUCUCUUGGCUCUCGCAUCGAUGAAGAACGCAGCGAAAUGCGAUAAGUAAUGUGAAUUGCAGAAUUCAGUUAAUCAUCGAAUCUUUGAACGCACCUUGCGCUCCUUGGUAUUCCGAGGAGCAUGCCUGUUUGAGUGUCAUUAAUAUAUCAAACCUCUCUUGUUGAGUGUUUGGAUGGUGGGGGUGAUUUUUUGCUGGUCUCUUUUCUGAGGGUCAGCUCCCCUGAAAUGCAUUAGCGGAACCCCGUUCAUUGGUGUGAUAAAUAUCUACGCUAUUGACGGUUAAGCAAGUUCAGCUUCAUUGACUCAUUAAUGUGACCUCAAAUCAGGUAGGACUACCCGCUGAACUUAAGCAUAUCAAUAAGCGGAGGCU